This is a non-coding RNA of Paramormyrops kingsleyae, 2355 nucleotides long. The record is from RefSeq and is a predicted model, not a curated record. NCBI's taxonomy places the organism in Eukaryota, Metazoa, Chordata, Actinopteri, Osteoglossiformes, Mormyridae.
GGCAGAGAGAACAUGCAAACUCCACACACAUGGAACCCUGGUGGAGACUUGAACUCAGGUUCCAGAGGUGUGAGGGGACACUGAUGGCCACUGCGCCAACUGUGCCGCCCGAUGCCCUUUUAUGCCUUUAGAAAACCUGUGCAAAUAGACGCAGAUCACGGGUAUAUUUGUGCAUUUUGACCAGUUUGAAAGUGGUGAUGCAACCAACUCAGUUUGGUCACACUUUCAGCCUUGCUAGUAAGCAGGACCAUGUCAGCGCGGGUACGGCUUGGGCUCGGCUUGGGAUCAGCUUGGGCUCGGCUUGGGCUCAGCUUACAUAAUUUACAGUGGAAAACUCUCCCCUCGCAAUAUGGCUCAGUUCUUGAUGGCAGUGGAAAAGUGCCAUAAAUUGCCCAUUACGCAUGUCCUGCAAAGGCGUGACAUCCCGUGCAUAGUGUUCCACUGGCUUGUACCCUGUGCUUUCUGGGAUUGGUUCGAGGCUCAGUGCAAUCCUGUACUCUGCAAGUGAUUGGAGAUUGGAUGAAAGUCUAAGUAUAGUGACAAAUAAGAGAGAAAAUUCUGUCAUUUUAUACUGCUGAGAUCUCCGCAUUAUACUUCUCUCUGCAUGUUUGUCACCAUAAUCUGUUGUAGGAAAGCAAUGUAAUUGUAUAUUUAGUUAAAUGAGACAGGAAAUUAGAAGGGAAGUGUUCUCUAAAUCUUUGUUUGCCAGCAUUUGCGUACGUUUCUCGUACUGAGUGAUUUAAAGUGACUUAAAGUGCCAGUGACUGGGAGCUGAAACUCAGACUAAGCAUAUCAUUGGGUUCUGGAAUUUUUGUGCAACAGGAAACAGACGGUCAAUAUCCACAAUGACACCAUCAAGUCUGCAGACUAAUAUCAUGGGGCUCAUCACAUGUGAUGACGAAACAUCUUACGGGGAGCAGGUGAGACAGCUAAAGUCAAAACCACAACUUCUCUGUUUAAACUAGCAAGACAAAGUUCACAGCACCAAGAAAGACCCUCUAAUUGCUCUCAUGACCUCCUACUUUCUGGAAGAAGGUUGUGCAGCAUCAUCCAGGUUCAUGAACUAUCCAUGAACUAGCAUAACCAUGUAAAUGAAGUAUUCAGCACAUUUAUUACUGCUAAUGUUUUAUGGAGUCUUAUUCAUUGUUUAAAUGUAUUUAUUUUGUUAUGCUUCUGUUUUUAAUUGCACGGUGGUCCUUGGGGGUGCUGUAUUUCUUGCUCUCUCUUGCACCCCCCUGUAAUGACAGUGACAAUACACUUGACCACGUUAACCUUAAACUAAUCCCUAAACAAUAAAGUACAUAUGAAGCGAUCUUAAAAGGUAAGUUAAUGCCAUUACUUGAAUUUGUCUCUCCCUUAUUUGUUUGCUCGACUUCAGAUCUGGCUGCCUCUGACGUUAACGCUGCUGUUUGUGUGUCGUCGAUACCAUGUUCCAUGCCAACCAAUUGCGUAACAACUGUACACUGGGGCAAAAAUUAACCAUACCCCCUUCCACUUUCCAAAUUCAUGCCUAGGGCCUGCCUGCACCAGUUACAGCAGUUGCAUACGAUAAAAUUUAAGUAGCCUCCAAAUAUCGUACCCAUCAUGCACUGCAGUAGUUAUCAAUUUUCACAAACAUACAUUUUUCAUCAAAUACAUGCCUCGACAACAGUUUGAUUACAAGACAUUGCAAACUACUACAUUUCAAAAUUGUUUUAAGGAUUGUACCACAUAUUUUUUGUAUUAUGAUUCCCGCCAUAAUGAGACUGUAUACAUAAAAAUGAGAUAUAAAAGUAGCAUACACCAAAAUGCAUGUAAUAUGUGCUGUAAUCCUCAUAAAUAUUUCACAUGUAUGAGAUUUGCAAUCAAAGGGGGACCCUUGACAUCACCCAGACAUGUCCCCCACCUACUAGUUCACCCCUGAAGCCAACAUCCGGUGAUCUUGGAGAACAACCUUCUCCUUAUGCUUCGCCUGCCAGUUUGCAGCUCUGCUAUUAGGCGACAGUUAAGGUAAUUUCCAGCAAAGACUGUUACCAGUGUUUUUUCCUCAUCCUUGCAGUUGGAAGAACCUCAGUAGGAUUCACGGAGUGAUGUUUCCCAAACAGCUUCAGAGGACUCCCCACAGGGUGUUUAGUUACACAUGACUGAUGCUGUGAAAACAGGAGAGGCUGCCUCUUCACACACCUCUCCAGGGCUCUCAGGAGGACAUACACCAUCUGUCCCAUGAGGAGUCUCUGGAAACAAACUCAGGCUGACAACAAGGAGAAUGACAUCGGCAUGGCAUGCUGACAUCUAGGGAGUUUUUCCACUGCAGCAGAUACGGUAUUUUUGGUCAGCGAAAAUUAGUGAUUUAAACAGCAAGGAUGAACAUCAUUA